AACACUGAGGCGUGAUGACGAGCCGCUACGGCGGUGAAGUGGUUGAUGCCCGGCUUCCAGGAAAAGCCUCUAAGCACCAGGUCACAGACAAUCGUACCCCAAACCGACACAGGUGGUCAGGUAGAGAAUACUCAGGCGCUUGAGAGAACUCGGGUGAAGGAACUAGGCAAAAUGGUGCCGUAACUUCGGGAGAAGGCACGCUGGCGUUAGGUGAAGGGAUUGACUCCCGGAGCCGAAGCCAGUCGCAGAGACCAGCUGGCUGCAACUGUUUAUUAAAAACACAGCACUGUGCCAACACGUAAGUGGACGUAUACGGUGUGACGCCUGCCCGGUGCUGGAAGGUUAAUUGAUGGGGUUAGCCGCGAGGCGACGCUCUUGAUCGAAGCCCCAGUAAACGGCGGCCGUAACUAUAACGGUCCUAAGGUAGCGAAAUUCCUUGUCGGGUAAGUUCCGACCUGCACGAAUGGCGUAAUGAUGGCCAGGCUGUCUCCACCCGAGACUCAGUGAAAUUGAACUCGCUGUGAAGAUGCAGUGUCCCCGCGGCAAGACGGAAAGACCCCGUGAACCUUUACUAUAGCUUGACACUGAACAUGGAGCCUUGAUGUGUAGGAUAGGUGGGAGGCUUGGAAGUGCGGACGCCAGUCUGCAUGGAGCCAUCCUUGAAAUACCACCCUUGAAUGUUCGAUGUUCUCACUUAGGCCCGUCAUCCGGGCUGAGGACAGUGUCUGGCGGGUAGUUUGACUGGGGCGGUCUCCUCCCAAAGCGUAACGGAGGAGCACGAAGGUUGGCUAAUCACGGUCGGACAUCGUGAGGUUAGUGCAAAGGCAUAAGCCAGCUUAACUGCGAGAGUGACGGCUCGAGCAGGUACGAAAGUAGGUCUUAGUGAUCCGGUGGUUCUGGAUGGAAGGGCCAUCGCUCAACGGAUAAAAGGUACUCCGGGGAUAACAGGCUGAUACCGCCCAAGAGUUCAUAUCGACGGCGGUGUUUGGCACCUCGAUGUCGGCUCAUCACAUCCUGGGGCUGAAGUAGGUCCCAAGGGUAUGGCUGUUCGCCAUUUAAAGUGGUACGCGAGCUGGGUUUAGAACGUCGUGAGACAGUUCGGUCCCUAUCUGCCGUGGGCGCAGGAAGAUUGAAAGGGGCUGCUCCUAGUACGAGAGGACCGGAGUGGACGCACCGCUGGUGUACGGGUUGUCAUGCCAAUGGCAUCGCCCGGUAGCUAAGUGCGGGAGAGAUAACCGCUGAAAGCAUCUAAGCGGGAAACUUGCCUUGAGAUGAGUCUUCCCUUGACUUUAGGUCACGGAAGGAACGUUUAAGACGAAGACGUGGAUAGGCUGGGUGUGUAAGUGCAGCGAUGCAUUGAGCUGACCAGUACUAAUGAACCGAGAGGCUUAACCUUACAACGCCGAAGGGGUUUUG
RNAcentral lists this ribosomal RNA (1416 nucleotides) under Photorhabdus luminescens subsp. mexicana. RNAcentral describes it as "Photorhabdus sp. MEX47-22 partial 23S ribosomal RNA". It matches the Rfam family "Bacterial large subunit ribosomal RNA", at positions 1552 to 2925 of the family's 2925-position model. The record is from RNAcentral. Lineage: Bacteria; Pseudomonadati; Pseudomonadota; Gammaproteobacteria; Enterobacterales; Morganellaceae.